This 87-nucleotide transfer RNA is filed under the name Candidatus Nitrosopumilus sp. RNAcentral's name for it is "Nitrosopumilus sp. tRNA-Ser". It matches the Rfam family "tRNA". Rfam says of the family: Transfer RNA (tRNA) molecules are approximately 80 nucleotides in length. Their secondary structure includes four short double-helical elements and three loops (D, anti-codon, and T loops). The record is from RNAcentral. Lineage: Archaea; Thermoproteati; Nitrososphaerota; Nitrososphaeria; Nitrosopumilales; Nitrosopumilaceae.
GCCGGGUUACCCAAGCUAGGUAAGGGGUCAGCCUCGAGAGCUGAUGUCUUCCAAGACUCGUGGGUUCGAGUCCCACUCCCGGCGCCA